Molecule: ribosomal RNA, 748 nt
Filed under: Fictibacillus barbaricus
Lineage: Bacteria; Bacillati; Bacillota; Bacilli; Caryophanales; Fictibacillaceae
Description: bacterial SSU rRNA
Rfam family: Bacterial small subunit ribosomal RNA
Source: RNAcentral
ACGGCUCAACCGUGGAGGGUCAUUGGAAACUGGGAGACUUGAGUGCAGGAGAGAAAAGUGGAAUUCCACGUGUAGCGGUGAAAUGCGUAGAGAUGUGGAGGAACACCAGUGGCGAAGGCGGCUUUUUGGCCUGUAACUGACGCUGAGGCGCGAAAGCGUGGGGAGCAAACAGGAUUAGAUACCCUGGUAGUCCACGCCGUAAACGAUGAGUGCUAGGUGUUGGGGGGUUCCACCCUCAGUGCUGAAGUUAACACAUUAAGCACUCCGCCUGGGGAGUACGACCGCAAGGUUGAAACUCAAAGGAAUUGACGGGGGCCCGCACAAGCAGUGGAGCAUGUGGUUUAAUUCGAAGCAACGCGAAGAACCUUACCAGGUCUUGACAUCCUCUGACCACUCUAGAGAUAGAGCUUUCCCCUUCGGGGGACAGAGUGACAGGUGGUGCAUGGUUGUCGUCAGCUCGUGUCGUGAGAUGUUGGGUUAAGUCCCGCAACGAGCGCAACCCUUGACCUUAGUUGCCAGCAUUCAGUUGGGCACUCUAAGGUGACUGCCGGUGACAAACCGGAGGAAGGUGGGGAUGACGUCAAAUCAUCAUGCCCCUUAUGACCUGGGCUACACACGUGCUACAAUGGAUGGUACAAAGGGUUGCGAAGCCGCGAGGCCAAGCCAAUCCCAAAAAGCCAUUCUCAGUUCGGAUUGUAGGCUGCAACUCGCCUACAUGAAGCCGGAAUUGCUAGUAAUCGCGGAUCAG